Zea mays is the source of this 463-nucleotide long non-coding RNA. RefSeq lists it as uncharacterized. The record is from RefSeq and is a predicted model, not a curated record. NCBI's taxonomy places the organism in Eukaryota, Viridiplantae, Streptophyta, Magnoliopsida, Poales, Poaceae. The transcript is spliced from 2 exons.
UGUCUAUUCAAUAGAUACCAUGGGGGGAGCAUUUGAUCCAGCUAGCUGGCAAACAAGAUUUGGUGUUAGGAUGCGACAGGGCCUCCCUCCAAUGCAAAAUCACAUUAACCAUGUCACCGCUGUCAAUUGUUUUCUUGAGUUUGUUCCCAAAACCUCUUAAUUAUUAUUGCCCACGGAUAGUCAUGUUAUCUACAUAAUCUGAUUUUGCCACUCUUCAGGGUUCGGCAUUGUGAAUAGAGGUUCAUCUUUGUGAUUAGGUUGCCACCGCCGCUGCUUUCUACUCAUUCGACGAAUGUUUUGCAAAGAAGAAAUCUGGUUUUUCUUACCCUCGAUUCCUUCCUAUGAUACAACUAACAAAAUGAAAUGGUACAUUCAGGUAUCUUUAAAACCUUUUCACUUCCAAAUUAGAAUGAUAUCAUGCUCAAGAGGUAACAUUUUCUGAUGUUUUUUAUUUUAAUAGUAA